Molecule: ribosomal RNA, 200 nt
Filed under: uncultured bacterium
Lineage: Bacteria
Description: partial 16S ribosomal RNA
Rfam family: Bacterial small subunit ribosomal RNA
Source: RNAcentral
UAGGCUGCAACUCGCCUACACGAAGUCGGAAUCGCUAGUAAUCGCGGAUCAGCAUGCCGCGGUGAAUACGUUCCCGGGCCUUGUACACACCGCCCGUCACACCAUGGGAGUUGGGAGCACCCGAAGCCGGUGAGUUGACCGCAAGGGGACAGCCGUCGAAGGUGAGACUGAUGACUGGGGUGAAGUCGUAACAAGGUACC